GCGGGUGUGGCGGAAUUGGUAGACGCACCAGAUUUAGGUUCUGGCGCCGCGAGGCGUGGGGGUUCAAGUCCCUUCACCCGCACCA
Molecule: transfer RNA, 85 nt
Filed under: Shimia marina
Lineage: Bacteria; Pseudomonadati; Pseudomonadota; Alphaproteobacteria; Rhodobacterales; Roseobacteraceae
Also listed under: 18 other names
Description: tRNA_Leu_TAG
Rfam family: tRNA
About the family: Transfer RNA (tRNA) molecules are approximately 80 nucleotides in length.
Source: RNAcentral